RNAcentral lists this ribosomal RNA (372 nucleotides) under uncultured bacterium. Its description in RNAcentral is "bacterial SSU rRNA". It matches the Rfam family "Bacterial small subunit ribosomal RNA", at positions 524 to 898 of the family's 1533-position model. The record is from RNAcentral.
UACGGAGGAUCCGAGCGUUAUCCGGAUUUAUUGGGUUUAAAGGGUGCGCAGGCGGGGGAUUAGGUCGGCGGUGAAAUGUCAGGGCUCAACCUUGAAAGUGCCGUCGAAACCGGUUUUCUUGAGUGCGGAUGAAGUAGGCGGAAUUUGUGGUGUAGCGGUGAAAUGCGUAGAUAUCACAAGGAACACCGAUUGCGGAGGCAGCUUACUAAACCGCAACUGACGCUCAUGCACGAAGGCGUGGGGAUCAAACAGGAUUAGAUACCCUGGUAGUCCACGCAGUAAACGAUGAUUACUGGCUGUUUGCGAUAUACAGUAAGCGGCUAAGCGAAAGCGUUAAGUGAUCCACCUGGGGAGUACGAUCGCAAGGUUGAA